RNAcentral lists this ribosomal RNA (1082 nucleotides) under Malacocephalus laevis (softhead grenadier). RNAcentral describes it as "partial 16S ribosomal RNA". It matches the Rfam family "Bacterial large subunit ribosomal RNA", at positions 792 to 2519 of the family's 2925-position model. The record is from RNAcentral. Lineage: Eukaryota; Metazoa; Chordata; Actinopteri; Gadiformes; Macrouridae.
CAAAAGAGUGGGAAGAGCUUUGAGUAGAGGUGAUAAACCUACCGAGCCCAGUGAUAGCUGGUUGCCUGAGAAAUGAAUAGGAGUUCAGCCCUUCCGUUUUCCCCCCCCCCGUCUUUCCACAAGAUAAAGGAAAAUUAAGGAGUUAAUCAAAGGGGGUACAGCCCCUUUGAUCAAAGAAACAACUUUUACAGGUGAAACAAGACCAUAAUAACCAAGGGCAAAAACCUAAGUGGGCAUAAAAGCAGCCAUCUUAAAAGAAAGCGUUAAAGCUCUAACCAGCCCGCAUCCCCCUUAUUCUGAUAAUAAAUCUUCCCCCCUGCUUCUUACCAGGCUGUCUUAUGCCCCCAUAAGAACAAUUAUGUUAAAAUAAGUAAUAAGAAGAUACGCUCUUCUCCUAGCACACGUGUAAGUCGGACCGGACCCCCCACCGACACCUACCCGACCCCAAACCCAGAGGGACAUAAGUUGAAAAAACAAGAAAACCGCUUAAAAAAAAUCGUUAACCCUACACAGGAGUGCACUAAGGAAAGACUAAAAGAGGGGGAAGGAACUCGGCAAACCCAAGCCUCGCCUGUUUACCAAAAACAUCGCCUCUUGAUUAUCCUAUAUAAGAGGUCUCGCCUGCCCACUGACUAUAUGUUGAAUGGCCGUGGUAUCUUAACCACGCUAAGGUAGCGUAAUCAUUUGUCUUUUAAAUGGAGACCUGUAUGAAUGGCAAAACGAGGGCUUAACUGUCUCCCCCCUCCAGUCAAUGAAAUUGACCUCCCCGUGCAGAGGCGGGGAUUAACCUAUAAGACGAGAAGACCCUGUGGAGCUUUAGACCUAAAAUAAACCCACCCAGCAAGCUCCGAAACGAGUCAUAACCCGGUGAAAAUUAUUGAUGUGUCUUUGGUUGGGGCGACCAUGGGGAAACACAAAACCCCCACGAAGAUAGAGGACACACUCCUCAACAUCUAGAGCCACCCCUCCAAAUAACAAAACUUUUGACUUAAAAAUGAUCCGGCGCAGCCGAAUAACGAACCCAGUUACCCCAGGGAUAACAGCGCAAUCCCCUUCCAGAGCCCCUAUCGACAAGGGGGUUU